AAUGAACGCUGGCGGCGUGCUUAACACAUGCAAGUCGAGCGAGAAAGUCUCCUUCGGGAGGCGAGUAAAGCGGCGGACGGGUGAGUAACACGUGGAUGACCUGCCUGGAAAUGAGGAAUAACUUGGGGAAACUCGAGCUAAUACCACAUACGCUCUUGUGGCUAUGGCCACAAGAGGAAAGUUGGCCUAUACAUGUAAGCUGACGUUUCAGAGGGUCCGCGCCUGAUUAGCUAGUUGGUGGGGUAAAGGCCUACCAAGGCGACGAUCAGUAGCCGGCCUGAGAGGGCGAUCGGCCACACUGGGACUGAGACACGGCCCAGACUCCUACGGGAGGCAGCAGUGGGAAUAUUGGACAAUGGGGCAACCCUGAUCCAGCAACGCCGCGUGGAGGAUGAAGGCCUUCGGGUCGUAAACUUCUGUCAGUGGGGACGAAAAGCCGUUGGUCAAUAGCCUUCGGUCAUGACGGUACCCGCAGAGGAAGCCCCGGCUAACUCCGUG
RNAcentral lists this ribosomal RNA (498 nucleotides) under uncultured bacterium. Its description in RNAcentral is "bacterial SSU rRNA". It matches the Rfam family "Bacterial small subunit ribosomal RNA", at positions 29 to 507 of the family's 1533-position model. The record is from RNAcentral.